RNAcentral lists this ribosomal RNA (420 nucleotides) under uncultured bacterium. Its description in RNAcentral is "bacterial SSU rRNA". It matches the Rfam family "Bacterial small subunit ribosomal RNA", at positions 29 to 440 of the family's 1533-position model. The record is from RNAcentral.
AACGAACGCUGGCGGCGCGCUUAACACAUGCAAGUCGAACGAGAAGCUGUAGCAAUACAGUUGUAAAGUGGCAAACGGGUGAGUAAUGCGUGGGUAAUCUACCCUAGGGUGGGGAAUAACUUCCCGAAAGGGGAGCUAAUGCCUCAUGUGCACCACUCUCGCAAGGGAGUAUUGGAAAGCCGUACCGAGGGUGCGGCGCCCAAGGAUGAGCUCACGUCCUAUCAGCUUGNGGCGGGGUAACGGCCCACCAAGGCUGCGACGGGUAGCUGGUCUGAGAGGACGACCAGCCACACUGGCACUGCGACACGGGCCAGACUCCUACGGGAGGCAGCAGUGGGGAAUUUUGGGCAAUGGGCGAAAGCCUGACCCAGCAACGCCGCGUGAGGGAGGAAAUCCUUCGGGAUGUAAAACCCUUUCGGC